AUGGCAGAGAGGCCUGAGGAUCUAAAUCUGCCCAAUGCCGUCAUCACCCGGAUCAUCAAGGAGGCGCUCCCGGACGGGGUCAAUAUCUCCAAGGGGGCCCGGAGUGCCAUCUCCCGCGCCGCCAGUGUCUUCGUGCUGUAUGCCACUUCCUGUGCCAACAACUUCUCAAUGAAAGGGAAACGCAAGACUCUCAAUGCUACUGAUGUCCUCUCAGCCAUGGAAGAAAUGGAGUUCCAGCGCUUCAUUACUCCACUGAAAGAGGCUCUGGAAGCAUACAGGCGGGAGCAGAAAGGCAAGAAGGAAUCAUCUGAGCAAAAGAAAGAAAGAAAGAGACAGAAAAACCGAUUCAGAAGAACAAGACAAGAGCAGAGAUGAGGACAAUGAUGAAGAUGAGGAAAGGCUAGAAGAGGAAGAACAGAAUGAUGAGGAGGAGGUGGACAACUAA
Elephantulus edwardii (Cape elephant shrew) is the source of this 445-nucleotide RNA transcript. It is a transcript of the gene named polymerase (DNA directed), epsilon 3, accessory subunit pseudogene, with no coding region annotated. The record is from RefSeq and is a predicted model, not a curated record. The transcript has a single exon. NCBI's taxonomy places the organism in Eukaryota, Metazoa, Chordata, Mammalia, Macroscelidea, Macroscelididae.